RNAcentral lists this ribosomal RNA (253 nucleotides) under uncultured bacterium. RNAcentral describes it as "partial 16S ribosomal RNA". It matches the Rfam family "Bacterial small subunit ribosomal RNA", at positions 524 to 776 of the family's 1533-position model. The record is from RNAcentral.
UACGUAGGGGGCAAGCGUUGUCCGGAAUCAUUGGGCGUAAAGAGCGUGUAGGCGGUCCGAUAAGUCCGCUCUGAAAGCCCGGGGCUCAACCCCGGGAGGCGGGCGGAUACUGUCGGGCUAGAGUCCGGAAGAGGCGAGUGGAAUUCCCGGUGUAGCGGUGAAAUGCGCAGAUAUCGGGAGGAACACCUAUGGCGAAGGCAGCUCGCUGGGACGUUACUGACGCUGAGACGCGAAAGCGUGGGGAGCAAACAGG